CUUUUCUUUUUUUUUUCAUUUUCUUUUUUAUUAUUAUUGCUGCAGGUGUUCAGUCUCUCUCUGUUUUUUUGAGUCAACACACAUCACUGACCACUGCAUUGCACUUCGCCGCGAAUGGAAAAUCUUUCAUCCCAUUGAAUAAAAACAAGGAGCCUGCCACACAUUUUUUUUUUCUCUUUCAGCCCCAAAAUUAGGAAAGAAAGAAUGCCUUCAUUGCCAAAGCCUUCUGCGGCACCCAAAUACACCCAAAAUCUUCAAAAAUUACUCAGUGCACCAAUUAGUACGCAAACUACUUCGCUGAAAUACCUCAAACCCAUCCUCUUAAUUCUGGAAUCAUCGGAUGAGUUCUGCUUUGCGAGUGGUGGUGUGUCAGGCAAUGGUACGGGAACUCCGCAGCAAUACAAUGGUGGCGCAAAACUGACGAGGGCAUCUUCGGCGCAAUCAUUGCUCAAUUCUACAACUCAUUAUCAACAAUAUAA
This 479-nucleotide non-coding RNA is filed under the name Percolomonas cosmopolitus. Lineage: Eukaryota; Heterolobosea; Eutetramitea; Percolomonadida; Percolomonadidae. The record is from RNAcentral.